RNAcentral lists this long non-coding RNA (2231 nucleotides) under Theobroma cacao (cacao). RNAcentral describes it as "long non-coding RNA (TCAC_LNC001610)". Lineage: Eukaryota; Viridiplantae; Streptophyta; Magnoliopsida; Malvales; Malvaceae. The record is from RNAcentral.
CCAUGACAGGCGCGUGGGCCCAAUGGACAUAGUCCACUAAGCCCAAGCAAGCCUAUUAAUCUGACAUAUUCAUCAUUCCAUCAUAACUUCUAAGUCAUAUUUCAUAACUUAGAAUCAAAAUAAAAUUAUACAUUUGCCAUCUCAUACUGGCAUACCAAACAAGUGUAUAUACAUUGUCUACAACAUGUAUCUUAGCAAUUUACAUUAGGUUUGUCUAUACACAACAAAAUAAUACUCGACUUCCAGCGGAGGGACUUGGAUGAAUGUACAACUACUGAAUGCCGAGACACCUACCAAAAGAUGGAUACAAGUCUAUAAGGACACCUCGUCCUAGUUACCGGCUGCCUCGUGAUCUAAAAACAUGGAGUUGAAAAUGGUGAGUAUAAACUCAGUGAGUGAACAAGGAAGGGAACAAGCAACCAUAAGCAAGAAUUUCAAAUCAUGAUGCACUUGUUUUAAAACAAUGCAAUUUAAUUUCAUUCAUAUUAAAAACCCCUCGUUAAACCCUUAUAUGAUUAAUCAAUUGGUAAUGAGGAACCCAUACAUAACAGAUAAUUUAAAGAAUGAAGGCUAUAGUGAUACACCAAUAAGACAAAUGCGACGACGAAUCUUCGCUGCAGCGGGAAGGCAUUCUCGCUACAACGACGUUGGAAUUAAGUUAUUAGCCGAACGUGGGUUUCUCAACCAGCCAAGGGUUUUUCACUAAACCACCUCAUUUUAAACUUAACUCAUUUAGUCCUUAAUGUUGGAAGUCCAUGCCCAUAUAUGGUAGCAAAGAAGUGAAAAAUAGGGCAGCAAUUGGACAAGAUAGGAGACAAAAAUAGAAGGUUUUUCAAUCUCACUACAGCGAAAUUGUAACCCAAAAAUAGAAGGUUUCUCUCUGCAACAAAAUUCAGCUGAUGAAACAGAAGUUUCUCGCUGCAGCGAGAUUCCUUUUCGUUGCAGCGAGAAGCUACAGUGACUAUCUCACUACAGCGAGAACUAGUUCUAGUGAAGGUUCUCAAACCUGAGAGUUUCUCGCUGCAGCGAAAAUAGAGCAACAAGAGAAAAGUUUCCCCUCACUCAACAAAAAGGCCAUCCUGCUAAACCAACAAAAUAAACAUACAGCACAUGAAAUUUUGUAAAGUGCAAUGUAUCAAAUUUCUCAUAUAUGUCAAUCAUAUAUCACAUUCAUAAGUUUUCAUUUCAUAAGUCUAGAUGUGCAUAAUUACAUAGAUAAACAUCAACAUCAUCAUAAUCACACUCGGCUCAUGUACAUCCCCCCACACCGUGCACAUAAUCGGCACCAUCGUGUGCAUCCCCCCCCCCCCAACAUCGUGCACAAUCAGUGCCAUCGUGUACAUCCCCCCACAUCGUGCACACGAGCACUAUCAUCAUCCAUCUCUCACACCACCAUCAUCAUCGGCAUGUGCAUUCCCCCACAUCAUGCACAUACAUGGUUACAAUUAUUAUACACAAUAUCAUUUAUCAUGCACAACACACAUUUAUAUAUAUAUCAUCAUAAUGCAAUAGUGCAUGAAUCCAUAGCAAUAAUAUAUCACAACAUAAAACCAUUGACAAAAGCUUGUUCCCAAGGCACUUGUUUUUAUGAAAACUUGAUAAUUCAUUUAAAUGGGUGGCAAAUACAUUAUAUCUCCUAAACAAGCUUUGAAGGCAGUCCACUCACCAAUUUAUUGUUGAGCCUUUAGUUGACUCUAAUUUCCCUAAUGAUCCAAUUGGAAGGAUGGGACUUCAUUAGAACCUAGGAUCACAUUAGCAUAAAUAACAGGUCAAUCACACACUAUGAACCUUAAAAGCUAUCUCUUAGCUAGCUUUCAAUUGCCACAUUAAAUGGCUAUCUAUGUUCACUAUCUAAAUCAUUAUAAAAUGAAUGAACAUCCUCAACCAUAAAACAGUUCAUAAUCUAAAUUUCUAGCCAUUAUCCACAGCUAAAAACUAAGCUUAGUGCAGCACUUACCCUAGGGUUCCUUUGUAGUUGAAUUCUCUUCAAUAGCUUUUGAAUCAAUGGGGUAAUUCUCUCCUUCUCUCUCUAGAACGCCCAACUAGUCAGAGAAAGUAUGAAAAUAAGAUUUAUCAAGGGUUUUGAAGUGAGAGAGUGAAAGAGCACAAGGGUUUAUGGAAGGGUACACCAAAAGCAUGAAAAUUGGAGCUAAAGAGAGAAAGUUAUGGAAGCUUGAAGAAAACUCCCAUGGAGGAAUUGAAGAAACGUGAGAGGGAAGAAGGAAGAAGAA